AGAUUUAAAAGUGUAUAUACUAUUUUCUA
RNAcentral lists this transfer RNA (29 nucleotides) under Gastrostomobdella monticola. RNAcentral's name for it is "partial tRNA-Cys". Lineage: Eukaryota; Metazoa; Annelida; Clitellata; Hirudinida; Gastrostomobdellidae. The record is from RNAcentral.